CAAUGGGUAUGGAUACCCGAAAUUUUAUUCAAAUCCGAACCCGAAUAAAACGGAUAUAUCCGAUGGAUAUGAAUAUGGAUUCGGAUAUGGAUAUCAAAAAUAGAAAUCCGACGGAUAUGGAUUCGGAUAUGGAUUUUGAUUGUACCCGACCCGAACCUGAAUCCGACCCGAACCCGAAUUUAUUUUGUAUUAUAUAUAAUAUAUAUAUGUAUAUAAAUUUGAUGUUAUAUUUAAAUUUGUAUUUUAAAAUUUUAGAUUUAAUAUAAUAUAUUUUGAAAUAUUGAAAAAUAAAAUAAUUGUUUCAGGUUCAAAUUUUUGGGUUCGGGUUCGGGUUCGGAUUUUGGAUUUUUGGUCGGGUUCGGGUUUGGAUAUGGAUUUUUAAAAUCCGUCGGGUUCGGGUCUCGGGCUCAGAGUCGGGUUCGAGUUUUUAAAAAUCUGCCCCCAAUCCGACCCGUUGACAUC
This 462-nucleotide long non-coding RNA is filed under the name Ananas comosus (pineapple). RNAcentral describes it as "long non-coding RNA (ACOM_LNC023912)". The record is from RNAcentral. Lineage: Eukaryota; Viridiplantae; Streptophyta; Magnoliopsida; Poales; Bromeliaceae.